UUAGGGGGUUUCCGCCCCUUAGUGCUGCAGCUAACGCAUUAAGCACUCCGCCUGGGGAGUACGACCGCAAGGUUGAAACUCAAAGGAAUUGACGGGGGCCCGCACAAGCGGUGGAGCAUGUGGUUUAAUUCGAAGCAACGCGAAGAACCUUACCAGGUCUUGACAUCCUUUGACCACUCUGGAGACAGAGCUUUCCCUUCGGGGACAAAGUGACAGGUGGUGCAUGGUUGUCGUCAGCUCGUGUCGUGAGAUGUUGGGUUAAGUCCCGCAACGAGCGCAACCCUUGAUUUUAGUUGCCAGCAUUUAGUUGGGCACUCUAAAGUGACUGCCGGUGCAAGCCGGAGGAAGGUGGGGAUGACGUCAAAUCAUCAUGCCCCUUAUGACCUGGGCUACACACGUGCUACAAUGGAUAGUACAAAGGGUCGCGAAGCCGCGAGGUGGAGCUAAUCCCAUAAAACUAUUCUCAGUUCGGAUUGUAGGCUGCAACUCGCCUACAUGAAGCCGGAAUCGCUAGUAAUCGUGGAUCAGCAUGCCACGGUGAAUACGUUCCCGGGCCUUGUACACACCGCCCGUCACACCACGAGAGUUUGUAACACCCGAAGUCGGUAGGGUAACCUUUAUGGAGCCAGCCGCCGAAGGUGGGACAGAUAAUUGGGGUGAAGUCGUAACAAGGUAGCCGUAUCGGAAGGUGCGGCUGGAUCACCUCCUUUCUAAGGAA
This 718-nucleotide ribosomal RNA is filed under the name Listeria monocytogenes. RNAcentral describes it as "bacterial SSU rRNA". It matches the Rfam family "Bacterial small subunit ribosomal RNA", at positions 823 to 1533 of the family's 1533-position model. Lineage: Bacteria; Bacillati; Bacillota; Bacilli; Caryophanales; Listeriaceae. The record is from RNAcentral. RNAcentral also lists the same sequence under 3 other names.